CCCAACUAUCCCUAUUAAUCAUUACCGUGGCCGUCAAAACCAACGAAAUAAGACCACGGUCCUAUUCCAUUAUUCCAUGCUAAUCUAUUCGAGCUUGCGCCCGCUUUGAACACUCUAAUUUUUUCAAGGUAAACGUCUUGGCUCCGCGACACGCCGCCCUCGCGGACGGCGCCCCGCCUCCCCAAGAGGAAAGGACCGGCCCAUGAGCAGUGCUCACCUUGCGGUGGACCGCCCGGCCAGACCCAAACUUCGACUACGAGCUUUUUAACUGCAACAACUUUAAUAUACGCUAUUGGAGCUGGAAUUACCGCGGCUGCUGGCACCAGACUUGCCCUCCAA
Molecule: unclassified non-coding RNA, 339 nt
Filed under: uncultured Ambisporaceae
Lineage: Eukaryota; Fungi; Glomeromycota; Glomeromycetes; Archaeosporales; Ambisporaceae
Description: sequence contains 18S rRNA gene
Source: RNAcentral